GCCCCUAAGACGAGGAUAACAGUUGGAAACGACUGCUAAGACUGGAUAGGAGACAAGAAGGCAUCUUCUUGUUUUUAAAAGACCUAGCAAUAGGUAUGCUUAGGGAGGAGCUUGCGUCACAUUAGUUAGUUGGUGGGGUAAAGGCCUACCAAGACUAUGAUGUGUAGCCGGGCUGAGAGGUUGAACGGCCACAUUGGGACUGAGACACGGCCCAAACUCCUACGGGAGGCAGCAGUAGGGAAUUUUCGGCAAUGGAGGAAACUCUGACCGAGCAACGCCGCGUGAACGAUGAAGUAUUUCGGUACGUAAAGUUCUUUUAUUAGGGAAGAAUAAAUGAUGGAAAAAUCAUUCUGACGGUACCUAAUGAAUAAGCCCCGGCUAACUAUGUGCCAGCAGCCGCGGUAAUACAUAGGGGGCAAGCGUUAUCCGGAAUUAUUGGGCGUAAAGGGUGCGUAGGCGGUUAAAUAAGUUUAUGGUCUAAGUGCAAUGCUCAACAUUGUGAUGCUAUAAAAACUGUUUAGCUAGAGUAAGAUAGAGGCAAGUGGAAUUCCAUGUGUAGUGGUAAAAUGCGUAAAUAUAUGGAGGAACACCAGUAGCGAAGGCGGCUUGCUGGGUCUUUACUGACGCUGAGGCACGAAAGCGUGGGGAGCAAACAGGAUUAGAUACCCUGGUAGUCCACGCCGUAAACGAUGAGUACUAAACGUUGGGUAAAACCAGUGUUGAAGUUAACACAUUAAGUACUCCGCCUGAGUAGUACGUACGCAAGUAUGAAACUUAAAGGAAUUGACGGGACUCCGCACAAGCGGUGGAUCAUGUUGUUUAAUUCGAAGGUACCCGAAAAACCUCACCAGGUCUUGACAUGCUUCUGCAAAGCUGUAGAAACACAGUGGAGGUUAUCAGUUGCACAGGUGGUGCAUGGUUGUCGUCAGCUCGUGUCGUGAGAUGUUGGGUUAAGUCCCGCAACGAGCGCAACCCUUAUUGUUAGUUACCAGCACGUAAUGGUGGGGACUUUAGCAAGACUGCCAGUGAUGAAUUGGAGGAAGGUGGGGACGACGUCAAAUCAUCAUGCCCCUUAUGACCUGGGCUACAAACGUGAUACAAUGGCUGUUACAAAGGGUAGCUGAAGCGCAAGUUUUUGGCGAAUCUCAAAAAAACAGUCUCAGUUCGGAUUGAAGUCUGCAACUCGACUUCAUGAAGUUGGAAUCGCUAGUAAUCGCGAAUCAGCAUGUCGCGGUGAAUACGUUCUCGGGGUUUGUACACACCGCCCGUC
RNAcentral lists this ribosomal RNA (1270 nucleotides) under 'Solanum phureja' aster yellows phytoplasma. RNAcentral describes it as "bacterial SSU rRNA". It matches the Rfam family "Bacterial small subunit ribosomal RNA", at positions 128 to 1398 of the family's 1533-position model. Lineage: Bacteria; Bacillati; Mycoplasmatota; Mollicutes; Acholeplasmatales; Acholeplasmataceae. The record is from RNAcentral.